RNAcentral lists this ribosomal RNA (1217 nucleotides) under uncultured Rhizaria. Its description in RNAcentral is "SSU rRNA". It matches the Rfam family "Eukaryotic small subunit ribosomal RNA", at positions 577 to 1804 of the family's 1831-position model. The record is from RNAcentral.
CGGUAAUUCCAGCUCCAAUAGCGUAUACUAAAGUUGUUGCAGUUAAAAAGCUCGUAGUUGGAUUUCUGCGGGGACGGAGCGGCCGGUCGCAACUUGCGACUCGAGCUAGCGCUUUCCCCGCAUCCCACCGCGAACCGUGCUACCAUUAGCUUGGUGGCGCUGGGGAUCGGCUCGAUUACUUUGAGAAAAAUAGAGUGUUCAAAGCAGGCCACACGCCUUGAAUAAGUUAGCAUGGAAUAAUGACUAAGGACUUUGGUUCUUUUCGUUGGUGUUCGGGACUGAAGUAAUGAUUGAUAGGGACAGUUGGGGCGGUCCGUAUUCCAAAGCGAGAGGUGAAAUUCUUAGACCUUCGGAAGACGAACAGCUGCGAAAGCGUUCCGCAAGGAUGUUCCCUUUGAUCAAGAACGAAAGUUGGGGGAUCGAAGACGAUCAGAUACCGUCGUAGUCUCAACUAUAAACUAUACCAGCUAGGGAUCGGCCAACGUUUAAUUUAUCGACUUGGUCGGCACCUUAUGAGAAAUCAAAGCAUCUGGGUUCCGGGGGGAGUAUGGUCGCAAGGCUGAAACUUAAAGGAAUUGACGGAAGGGCACCACCAGCCGUGGAGCCUGUGGCUUAAUUUGACUCAACACGGGAAAACUUACCAGGUCCGGACAUAGUAAGGAUUGACAGGUUGAUAGCUCUUUCUUGAUUCUGUGGGUGGUGGUGCAUGGCCGUUUUUAGUCGGUGGAUGUGAUCUGUCUGCUUAAUUGCGUUAACGGACGAGACCCCAGCCUGCUAAAUAGCGCGGCCGAGCUUUGCUCGGUGCGAGCUUCUUAGAGGGACCAUGAUGCGCGAUAGCACAAGGAAGUUUGGGGCAACAACAGGUCUGUGAUGCCCUUAGAUGUUCUGGUCCGCACACGGGCUACACUGGCGCCUGCAACGAGCAUAUCAGCUGGCCCGAGAGGGUCUUGGCUAAUCUUUGGAACCGGCGCCGUGCUUGGGAUUGACCAUUGCAAUUGUUGGUCAUGCAACGAGGAAUGCCUUGUAAACGCGAGUCAUCAGCUCGCAUUGAAUACGUCCCUGCCCUUUGUACACACCGCCCGUCGCUCCUACCGAUGAAUGUUCCGAUGAAAUUUUCGGAGAGCACCAGAGAACGGGGCUCCGCCUUGCAGAUCUGGAGGCUCAAAGUCACUUAAAUCUGAACAUUUCGAGGAAGGAGAAGUCGUAACAAGGUAACC